AAAGUCUCUCUCUGUCUCUCUCCGGUAGCAUUCAUACAGCAGCUUCCAGUCUGCAGCCGGCUCGGUGUGUUAACUCCGCAUCUGACCUCCAUGGGAACAGCCUCCCCUCCGCCCCUCUCCUCCCGCCAGGCUGUGGGAAACAAGGGGGGACAGAUCCUGAUUUUUUACCCCACUUUCAGGCGGAGCAGGACUUGGACUUCUGAAGGAUUUCUUGGAUCUGAGAUGUGAAAUAGUUAGUUUGUUGGUAAAUCAGAGGAAACGUUGACUUGAAUUAAAGGUAUUAAGUCAACAGAUUGUAUUAGGUCAGUAGAAAGGGAGAAUAUUCAGUUGAACCUAUUUGUUUUUCUUUCAACUAACCUAAUACAGUUAAGUGAAAUCUGUGGACACAUUUAAUUAAAGUCAACGUUUCAGUUUUCCAGGGUAGGGUCACCUCUCUGCAUAUCCUCAUCUGAACCCUUGAGGUGAUUCACCAAAUCGGACCUGUGGGCACGGAUUGGCCCAAAGUUCAACAGAUGUUUCCUCGGCCCGUGAUGCAACUUUUCACCAACUUUUAUGAAAAUUGGGCAAGUAGUUUUUGCAUAAUCCUGCAAACAGACACAGACCAAGCCAAAGCCAAAUAUCCUUAACAGAGGUAAUGACAAAUGGCAAAUUACACUUUGCUUUGAGGUCACAGGUUAUAAAAUUGAUACGGCCAUAAUGACUGUUGAAUCUACAGGAAGACUUAACCCUGUAGCCACCUAGCGUAGCAUAAAAACAGAUUUUUGAAGUUGUACAAUUCCUUGUGUUUAUUUCUCAGUUCUGAGCAGCUCUUAGUAAACCAGAUGAGACAUGCUUUAAGAAAUACAAACGGUUAUAAGAAGCAGGAAAACAACUGGACUAAAUGUUAAUUCCCUACACACAAAGAAACUCCACAUAUGGUUCACUAAAUCAUUAUGACUCAGGUGAGAAGACAAGCUGAUGAUUAAGGGAGCGAUGAAGGAGAGGCUGUUGAGACGAACCUCCUCCUCCUCCUCACUGCUCGACUACAGUCCUGUCAUUAUUCCUUCCCCGGCAUGGUGGGCCUGGAAUUUUCCCUGCAGAACAGAAUAAACAACAACAAUGGAAGAUAAUAACACACACAGACGUUCCCAUUUUUCAACCAGGCAGUGUUUCCUUGUGCACCGAUCCAACGGGAAGACAAAUCAAACACACCUCUCUGACCUAACGCUAAUGUGAAGCAGACUAAACAUGAAGACCUUUUUAAGGAAACACUGGAAACACUCAUUACGAUCAGUUGUUCUCAUGCUAUACGUCUUUUUGACUUCAAAUAAAAACAGAAUAUUUGUAUGAUCUUGAUUGCAAAGGAGUUCCAAAAGAAAAGACAUUGAGUGGUUUGCAGAUACCUCUGGAAAGAGACAGUCAUUUUCACGGGUUCCAGUGUUUGUGGCUAAGCUAACUGAAUAAAGCCUAUUAGUACACUCA
This is a long non-coding RNA of Eleginops maclovinus (Patagonian blennie), 1461 nucleotides long. RefSeq lists it as uncharacterized. The transcript has 2 exons. Lineage: Eukaryota; Metazoa; Chordata; Actinopteri; Perciformes; Eleginopidae. The record is from RefSeq and is a predicted model, not a curated record.